AAGGACAAAAUGAUGGCAUUGUUUCUGAGGAUACAAAAGGGUUUCCCUCAUGUAUGUCUCACCUGGGUCCGGUAUUUGCCAGGAGACCAGAUAUGGAUCAAACGAUGAAUUGAGAUUUAUAUCCAACUUUUUCCUGAAACGGCACCAACUCACCUCAUUAGCAAUCUGCUGGAUUUCUUCAGUGGCAGGUUUGGCCUCAGUCAAGCCUCCAGGUAUCAUUUUGGCUAGUGUCUGCCAGGCAGGGUGCUGGAAGCCAAGUGCUCAGGUAAGUGCGGAGAUAAGUGCUCAGGUAAGUGCGGAGGCAAGUUUUAACAGCAACCCAGCAAACAAGCUCCGCCUAUAGAAUGUGUUCACUUCCACAAAGAGUAAAGAGGCGCGGGAAAAGGAGUUUGCCCGAAGCGAGUUUUCUUGCUUUCUUGGGAGGAUCUGUUGAGUGGAACUGGGAAGGAUGCGGGUGGGGGGACCAGCGUGGGCGAGCCAGCUUGGGAGUCACCCCGCAGCAAGCCUCAGACUUGCCUCCCUGUGUUCUCGGUACCCAUCCUGAUUCCAUCCGGUUGCGCCCUCUGCAAUCCGACAUGCGAAACCAGUCUCCAGAUCUUUUAAAACCUCCAGUGUAAAAUU
Molecule: long non-coding RNA, 621 nt
Filed under: Ictidomys tridecemlineatus (thirteen-lined ground squirrel)
Lineage: Eukaryota; Metazoa; Chordata; Mammalia; Rodentia; Sciuridae
Description: lncRNA (ENSSTOG00000031851.1)
Source: RNAcentral